UACCAGCACCCCGAGUGGUCGGGACGUUUAUUGGGCCUAAAGCAUCCGUAGCCGGUUCUACAAGUCUUCCGUUAAAUCCACCUGCUUAACAGAUGGGCUGCGGAAGAUACUAUAGAGCUAGGAGGCGGGAGAGGCAAGCGGUACUCGAUGGGUAGGGGUAAAAUCCGUUGAUCCAUUGAAGACCACCAGUGGCGAAGGCGGCGUCCUGGACCAAUACUGACACUGAGGAGCGAAAGCCAGGGGAGCAAACGGG
RNAcentral lists this ribosomal RNA (253 nucleotides) under uncultured bacterium. RNAcentral's name for it is "partial 16S ribosomal RNA". It matches the Rfam family "Archaeal small subunit ribosomal RNA", at positions 474 to 727 of the family's 1478-position model. The record is from RNAcentral.